This 283-nucleotide ribosomal RNA is filed under the name Klebsiella pneumoniae. Its description in RNAcentral is "partial 16S ribosomal RNA". It matches the Rfam family "Bacterial small subunit ribosomal RNA", at positions 1 to 282 of the family's 1533-position model. Lineage: Bacteria; Pseudomonadati; Pseudomonadota; Gammaproteobacteria; Enterobacterales; Enterobacteriaceae. The record is from RNAcentral.
AAAUUGAAGAGUUUGAUCAUGGCUCAGAUUGAACGCUGGCGGCAGGCCUAACACAUGCAAGUCGAGCGGUAGCACAGAGAGCUUGCUCUCGGGUGACGAGCGGCGGACGGGUGAGUAAUGUCUGGGAAACUGCCUGAUGGAGGGGGAUAACUACUGGAAACGGUAGCUAAUACCGCAUAACGUCGCAAGACCAAAGUGGGGGACCUUCGGGCCUCAUGCCAUCAGAUGUGCCCAGAUGGGAUUAGCUAGUAGGUGGGGUAACGGCUCACCUAGGCGACGAUCC